Molecule: non-coding RNA, 280 nt
Organism: Cyanistes caeruleus (blue tit)
Lineage: Eukaryota; Metazoa; Chordata; Aves; Passeriformes; Paridae
Source: RefSeq, a predicted model, not a curated record
CUUGGUUACACCAGUUGGCAUCAGUGUAGAGCUUCUGAAGUAACUAGAAAGCUGAAAUUAGUGAAUUUGUGUUGCAGGCAGAAGAGGCAUCUAGUAAAGACCAAACUGCUUCCUUAUGGGAACACAUCCAAUUCAAUCUUCUCAUCAUCUAUGAGAUACUUCCCCAGAAAUCUUAACAUCAGAUGUUCCAGUUGCUGGCUUUGUUUGGUGCUGUCUUUCUCAAACAAGUAGCAUGAACUAAUCAGGCCACUUUUGUGAGUGAGUGAAGAUUACAGGUAAA